CUGUGAUUGGCUGAGAGUGUCAGCUGACUGCUUUUAGCCUGUCAGAGCUCCAACUGACGGUAUGAAUGGGUAUGACAACAAGGAAGUGUGUAAUCUCUGCCUUAGCUACACGUACAGAAGGGGCCGAAUUGUGGGUGGCCAGGGACUCUUAUUUUGUGGCAUACUGCACAAACAUGGUUCAACACUGAAUGGAGGGACAGUGCCAGGGUACUCCAGGCACUGUAACCAAUUCAAAGAGAUGAAAUGUUUAUAGUGACUACAGUGUCCCUUUAAGAAGACAUCCACUGAAUGUCAAUCAACCAAAGUGACCAGGAGCCACAGGUCUUGACAGUCACAAUUGAAGGAUGAAAUGCGUUGGACGUUCUUAUGGUUCUUAUGGUGACAUGCUAUUUGUUUU
Pelobates cultripes (western spadefoot toad) is the source of this 397-nucleotide non-coding RNA. The record is from the annotation of a GenBank genome assembly. Lineage: Eukaryota; Metazoa; Chordata; Amphibia; Anura; Pelobatidae.